This 407-nucleotide ribosomal RNA is filed under the name uncultured Sphingobacteriales bacterium. RNAcentral describes it as "bacterial SSU rRNA". It matches the Rfam family "Bacterial small subunit ribosomal RNA", at positions 980 to 1382 of the family's 1533-position model. The record is from RNAcentral. Lineage: Bacteria; Pseudomonadati; Bacteroidota; Sphingobacteriia; Sphingobacteriales.
CUCGAACGUAAGAUGACUGUAGGUGAAAGCUUACAUCUCUUCGGAGCAUUUUACGAGGUGCUGCAUGGUUGUCGUCAGCUCGUGCCGUGAGGUGUCGGGUUAAGUCCCGAUAACCGAGCGCAACCCUACCUUUACGUUGCCAUCAGGUAAUGCUGGGGACUCUAAAGGAACUGCCUACGCAAGUAGUGAGGAAGGCGGGGAUGACGUCAAAUCAGCACGGCCCUUACCGUCCAGGGCUACACACGUGCUACAAUGGCCGAUACAGAGGGCGAGCUAACCUGGUGACAGGAUGCAAAUCUCCAAAGUCGGUCUCAGUUCGGAUCGGAGUCUGCAACCCGACUCCGUGAAGUUGGAUUCGCUAGUAAUCGCGCAUCAGCCAUGGCGCGGUGAAUACGUUCCCGGGCCUU